Molecule: ribosomal RNA, 319 nt
Filed under: uncultured eukaryote
Lineage: Eukaryota
Description: partial 18S ribosomal RNA
Rfam family: Eukaryotic small subunit ribosomal RNA
Source: RNAcentral
CCCUUAGAUGUUCUGGGCAGCACGCGCACUACAAUGGUCUUCGCAAACGGAUGCAUUCUCGAAGGAGAAUGCCAAUCUUGGAAUCUAUGCCUUGGUCGGGACAGUUGUUUGCAAUUUUUCGACUCGAACCAGGAAUUCCUUGUAAUCGUGAUUCAUCACAUCACGAUGAAUACGUCCCUGCCCUUUGUACACACCGCCCGUCGCUCCUACCGAUCGAAGAGUUAGGUGAAUUGUUUUGAUCGAUAAGAUUUGACUAUGGUCAACUCUCGUUGUGAAAUUCUGUGAAUCUGACUGUUUAGAGGAAGGAAAAGUCGUAACA